Molecule: ribosomal RNA, 253 nt
Filed under: uncultured bacterium
Lineage: Bacteria
Description: partial 16S ribosomal RNA
Rfam family: Bacterial small subunit ribosomal RNA
Source: RNAcentral
UACGUAGGGAGCAAGCGUUGUCCGGAAUCAUUGGGCGUAAAGCGCGCGUAGGCGGCCCUGUAAGUCCGUUGUGAAAGUCAAAGGCUCAACCUUUGAAAGCCGAUGGAUACUGCAGGGCUAGAGUCCGGAAGAGGCGAGUGGAAUUCCUGGUGUAGCGGCGGAAUGCGCAGAUAUCAGGAGGAACACCAAUAGCGAAGGCAGCUCGCUGGGACGGUACUGACGCUAAGGCGCGAAAGCGUGGGGAGCGAACAGG